UCAGAGAAAGACAGAAGAAAUGUCAGGCCCUCAGUGCUUCUCAAUUUGGAUAGUACAAUCAAUCACGAUUCCACCUAUUUACUAGAACUUCCGACUCACAGUCUCUUGACAGAUAUCACAUGCUAGAGAAAAUGUCCUGAACAAUUGCGUGGUGCGUGUGUCUAAAACUCUAAACUAGUUUUGUCUUUGGAACUGCUAUAGGAAAAAGGAUAUGAGGAUGCCAAAUCAGUGCUUGCUGCUCUAAAGAGUCAAGGUGUUUCUGCAAUAGGAGCUGCAGGAUUUUGCUGGGGAGGUAAACCCUUCAUUACUAACAUGAAGUGGGGCUUGCUCACAUUUUUUUUUUCAGGGAAUGUAGUGGCCAAACUUGCAAAAUCUGAUGACAUUAAGGCCCUGUGAUAUUGCGUCCUGGCCGGUUAGCAGAUGAAGAUAUACAUGCACGAAGCUCUAACCAAAGCUCUAGCCAAGAAAACCCCCCCCCCCUGCUGCAGCCUGUUUGCACGCCCUGAAACCUUUUGAUCAGGACCUCAGAUCAAAAACUUUCCUUCAUCAAAGUUGUUCGUCUCUGCCUCUUCUAUUUGCCCUCCAAAUUUCAGCCCUAUUGGAGUCGUUUUGAGACCUGUACACCAUUUAAAGUGGGAGCUGUUCAGAAGAGAAUCUGCUCCAUGUUCACGACUAGCUCUAAGAUUUGGAUCGAAUAGCUUUGAGAUUCGGGUUCCUACCAAAAGGCGAAUAGCUCUUGGAUUGGCUGAGAAGACAACCUUCUCAGUUCUGCACACAUAAGCUGAAGAUUCAUCCGUUCUUCAUCAAAGGUUGAGUCAGAAGCUCAAAUCAAGCCCAAAGUCAUAGCAACAAAUUCGA
Molecule: long non-coding RNA, 858 nt
Organism: Rosa chinensis
Lineage: Eukaryota; Viridiplantae; Streptophyta; Magnoliopsida; Rosales; Rosaceae
Exons: 3
Source: RefSeq, a predicted model, not a curated record